UACGUAGGGGGCGAGCGUUGUCCGGAUUCAUUGGGCGUAAAGAGCUCGUAGGCGGCUUGGCAAGUCGGAUGUGAAAACUCCAGGCUCAACCUGGAGCCGCCAUUCGAUACUGCUAUGGCUAGAGUCCGGUAGGGGAGUGUGGAAUUCCCGGUGUAGCGGUGAAAUGCGCAGAUAUCGGGAGGAACACCGGUGGCGAAGGCGGGUCUCUGGGCCGAUACUGACGCUGAGGAGCGAAAGCGUGGGGAGCGAACAGG
This 254-nucleotide ribosomal RNA is filed under the name uncultured bacterium. RNAcentral's name for it is "partial 16S ribosomal RNA". It matches the Rfam family "Bacterial small subunit ribosomal RNA", at positions 524 to 776 of the family's 1533-position model. The record is from RNAcentral.